CUUUAAAAGCAUGAAGACCUCAUAUCCAUCUCCAUUAUCCUGUUGGUGACAGAGUGUCUCCCAAAAAUCGUGUGCACUGGAACCUGAGAAUGUGACUUUGCUUGGAAAUAGAGUCCUUGCAGAUGUAAUCAAACUAAGAUGAGGUCAUUUGUGUCCUUACAAGAAGAGGAAAAAUUUGGACACAGAGAUGCACACGGGCAGAAGGCCAUGUGAUAGAAGACAGAUCGGAGUGGCCAUCUAUGUGACUAGGAGCACCAGGGACUGCCAGCAGUCACCAGAAGCGGGAAGAAGAAGGGAGGAUGGAGGUUUCCGAGGGAGCACGGCCCGACCUUGAUUUUGGACAUCCAGCCUCCAGAACGGGCGGCGACCAAGCAGCGGUUGUUACCGAUAAAGUCCUGUGGAACGAACCAAUAGGAACGAUGGUUCUGUAGUUAUGCGUUGGAAACACACUUCUCCGCUCUACGAUUGGAGUAAGCACACAGUGAGUCCACUGGAUUGUUUCUUCCCAGACAAGACUUGCCCUGGCUCUAAGGAAGUGAGCUGGGGGAAAUUUCGGGCAGGAGACAGGGCACUGAGUCAUGCCAUGGUCAGAACAAAGAGAAAAUAGCCCUGUGUCACUGCAAAAGUGGGAUUCCCAUGACCAAAGUGCAAUGUGUACCUCACUUUAUCUAGCACAUGGCUCCAGGGGAGUCUAAAUGCUGGGCUUGGGGGAGCCCUGUCCUUCCAGAUGCCAGGACAAGUGCCCGGCUUGCCCAGGGACCCUCUCAUUUGGCUUCUGCACAAGUUCAGCACUGGUGUUUAACUUUCCUCCCUUUUUUUUUUUUCUUCCUCCCUGUUAUUUAAAUGGUUUUAAACAUGAAACUAGGCCAGGAAAAGGGGGUGGCAUUGUUUUAAUAAUUAGCAAUUAUGAUCGCUGCAAUAUUAAUUGCAUAUUUCCAUAGCAAACACGUCCCCAGAGGGCCAGGGGGAGUGGUGGUUAGAGACUGCCAGAGCCUAAAACUGGAAUUCCUGAGAACAGAAAGAGGAGAGGAAAUCAACUUCUUCCAUUUAAGCAAAUUACCACGGGGACUGCAGGGCCCCUCUAAUUAGCCCAGCUUGCAGGAGCUGGUGAGCAGGCUGGUGGGAAGUCUCACUCGGUACCGCCGGGCCUGCCCGCGCAGGCCCCUGCCCCGUUAUUUCUUUUAUUUUUGUCAUUUGGGCAAGACAGCAGCUUGUUUCCAGGGGGGCAGCUGGGCCGGGCUGGAGGCUGACACUCCAGAUCUCAGUGCCCCGGGCCCCCAGGCUGGGACCCCGGGUUCAUUUGUGCAAAUCCUGACCACAGAAGGGCAAAAUGGGACAGGACCGCAGGCGAUUCCGCGUGGUGGCGCUCGAGGGAGGCUGCGGCAGGGGAGGCCACGGAGCCUGCCUUUCCGAUUCUGUGACACAGAUCGAGGGGUUCAGGGUGGAACGGGGGUGGGGGGAGGAAGAAGCAGAGGGCGUGGGAGAAGCAGGCAUGACGGGAGGAGAGGGAGAAAGGAGGGCCCCCAAGGGAAGGUGGUGCUGUAGAAAGAAGCAGCAGCCGAGAGGGGCAGGCAAGCGAGUAAGGGGGCCUGAACUGCAGGCAGAGGAAAGAAAUGAGGGAGAGCAGGGUAGGGAUUAAAACGAAAAGGCGACGGAGCCAUCAGGCCGAAGGUAAGAUUAAUCAGAGAAGACUUCCUGGAAGCGGGGUCCUUCAUGACUGCUUCUGGGGCUCUUUCUAACCCAUCACACCUCCUCCCCAGCAUCACCUUUCAUUAGCCACUGAGUUCUUAAAAGCAAACUUCCUAACAGAGGCAAGCCCCGCCUGGCUGUGUCUGUGGCCAGGGGGCCAUCUCCCAGAAGGGGGAAGGGUCCCAUCCACCUGCUCCUGGUCUGUUUCACAGGACACAUGGUCUUCGUUUUAAAGUAAACUUGCUAAGCAAAACUCCAAAUUCACAAAUAGAGACGUUACAGGGUAAUAAUUCUCAUUGUAAAAGGGUUCCCCCUAAGGUGCCUUUAAAUGGGGGGGGACCCUCCCCCGUGCAUGGAGGCGUUUGUUUACAGAUCAUCGACUCCUCGAUGGAGAAGCUGGGAGGCUUGACGGAGAAACUUACACACAAAAUGUCUCUGGCUGCUUCCAAUGGAAAAAGAUAAACAAUGAAAAUAAAGCGAAUGUGCUUCAAGAGACGGGAAUCCAAUCGUGCAACGGUAAUGAUAGCGAUAAUACUUGAUGCAUACAAGUGCCCGUCAUUUCGCAGAGCUCUUCAUGCCUCCUGUCCCCCCCCCCCCCGCCCCAGCCCCUGUCAGAACAGCGGUGGGGCCAUCACCCUGUGCAUUGGCAAUGCCACAAGGAAGGUCAGAAAUCAGUCCCAGUGGGCAGGUGAGGAUACGAGGCCCAAAGGUCUUAGUGCCUACCUGAGGUCACACCUUGCACAGGCAGACUCUGAACCCCGCCCACACUCGGUGUUUCUGGGAUUGUUUUCAUCACCUCUUGCUCCCCGUGCGGGCGAGAGAGGGAUUCCCGCCCUAGGAUGAUAGGGACAAUGGGACACACGACACCCAACACCAGACAGGUGAAAUGGAGAGCAAGCGGUCCCUUGGUCACAGAUGCUCAAAUCCCGAGAGCGAGGAUGUCUCACGCUGUGCAGAGCCACCUGGGGGGAUGCCCUCGGGAACAGAGGGAACAACAGGGGCUGUGGAAGGCAGGCUUUGUAGUGGAAAGAGGGCGAGAUGCCCCCUGGUUCCUAAGGGAAGGUGUGACCCGCUUGUUUGAAUCAUUCAGGGAUGAGCAUGACCAGAAUUGGCCCGUGGAUAAGGACAGUGGUGUGGUUGGGGACCCUUAUCUGUGGAAGCAGGGUGAGGAAGGGAACAUUAGUUUAGAUGCUUUGGGGUCCUCCCAAUUUCACCAGCUGCCAAAGCAGCACCUUAGUCAGACUUUAAUCUCAGGCCCCGCACCACAGAGGUCCCCUUAGGGACAAGGCCCCGUACCCGUCAGCACCCUGGACAGCCCAUGUUUCAAUAACAUGGCCAAGGGCUUCUAAGAAACGAUACCACCCAAUGCCCAAACCAGGUCAGGAGAUGAUGUGUCCCCAAGGCAGCGCAGGGCCAGCGGCUCGGUCCCAGAGCAGCUUUCCCCGCCCCCACCGCCCACCCUGGGCUGGGCUGGGUGGGUUAUGGGAGCCCCAGCCCAUAAAACACAUUCCCCUCCCACCCCUCCCACCUUCCUCUGUUAACAAGUCUGGUAGGCUUUGCUCACUCUGUGUGUACACAAACAUUACCCGGUGUAUUUUUGAUCUUACUUAUCCCUGGGAAUCCAUCUCAAAGCCGCCUUUGGAAACUCCUAAGCAGGAUGUAAUGCGUGGAUUUCAGCCUCUGCUCGAUAGUUUGCAAUGUAGUUAUUCCCCAAGCCUUAGCAUGUGGGAAGAAAACAACCGAAGCAGAAACAUGUUUAACCAAACAGCAGCUUGGGGGUGGGGGGAGAUGGGGAAGGGAGAAAGAAAGGGAGGGACAGAGAGGGGAGGCCCUGGGCAGCCCUUGUGCCUGCUUCUUCCAAGAACUUGCUAAAUGAUUUCUAGAAGCUGCCUGCCUCAGCCCCAGAACUGUCUGGGCGUCCUCUGGCCAAGGGUGCCUGCCGGGUGCUGUUGGCAGAGGGAACUAUGGAGGGAGGUCCAGGGGCGAUCAGCAGGUAGAAACGUGGAAAAAUGCUCCUGCCAGAACAUUUGAAAGUACUUUGAAGUUUAAGGAGAAAAACAUAAGGACAUAAAACAUGAUUCCACUACAAUAACUCUACGAGGUAAGCAUGACUAAGGACAAAAAUUAAACGGCGAUCAAGAAAAAUCAAAGUGCUUUGUAAUAACUGGGUGGCGGGUGGGACUUUGACUCCCCCCCCCCCCACCUUGGAGAGGUCUUCUAUUAUAAUAAUAGUGUUUGGGUAAUUAUAAUAUUCUGGUGUGAUUAUGAAUAGUGUUGGGGUAACUGGUAAGAAUCAGGAAGGAAAAAGAGAGUGUGGUAUCACCCCUCUGAGAACUAGUCAUCCAGAUAAAGGGGCCACUUGAAGCCAUCACGCAAAUAUCUCUUAAUUAAAAGAAGUCAAAGGGAAUGCUGGGUAGGCUUGAAAUUAGGGAUUGGUCUGUAAGCAGAGGUGGCUUCCGGAAGGAGGAAGUGCCGGAGAUAGAAACAGCCACACUGAAUCUCUUUCAACCCACCCUCUAGGCAGGUCAGGCCUGCAGGAGUGAUCGGUUUGUCCCCGGUGUCUUUUAUCCUUUGUGGAGGGCCAGCGCCCCACCUCGAAUCACCUGAAACCAGAGCUUACGUGACCGGGUCCGAGCCACCCCGGGACAGGAGGCUGCAGAGGGACAGAGGAAGCCCAACCUGCAGCCACCACAGCCACCAGAAUGGCAUGGGAGCCUUAAGGGACGAGACGAGGCUCUCACCCGCUCCCUGCCGAGCUCUGGGUGCUCAGUACGUUUCUCCAAUACACGUCCACACUGGGUGGCCACGCGUCGAGAUUCCAGAGAUCUCCGGACCCCGUGCUGAGGCUCUGGGAGAGGCGGCAGCCACGAGAGCUCCAGUGCCUUCGUCAGAUGGAUGCCACAUAGACAGCGGUAACUAUUUACUGGAUGGAACCGGGAGGAAACAAGGCCACCAGGAGUGCUUCGUGGCUGAGGCAUCCGACACAGAGGUGACACGGGCUGUGCUGGGCCUACAGCUGUAGCCCCUGAAGUCUUACCCAGUUCCUCAUAACCCUUGAUCCCAGCUCCCACCACACGUCUCCCAGCGCCGCUUCUGUGCCCGGCCAGCUCCCCGGAUCCCACCUCUGCCCACCCCGUGCUUAUCACGUGUCAGCACACCCUAGGCUUCCGGUGAAUCGCUGUCCCCCACUGAAUCUGUGUAGAGGACUUUGCAUUGUAAAAUCAUGUUAUACUGUAUUGUAUUCUCCAAUAUUGCUGUUAUUAUACACUCCAAUAUUACUAUCAUCC
Long non-coding RNA from Leopardus geoffroyi (Geoffroy's cat), 4976 nucleotides. RefSeq lists it as uncharacterized. The transcript has 2 exons. Lineage: Eukaryota; Metazoa; Chordata; Mammalia; Carnivora; Felidae. The record is from RefSeq and is a predicted model, not a curated record.